This 458-nucleotide ribosomal RNA is filed under the name uncultured bacterium. RNAcentral's name for it is "bacterial SSU rRNA". It matches the Rfam family "Bacterial small subunit ribosomal RNA", at positions 340 to 786 of the family's 1533-position model. The record is from RNAcentral.
UACGGGAGGCAGCAGUGGGGAAUAUUGCACAAUGGGCGCAAGCCUGAUGCAGCCAUGCCGCGUGUAUGAAGAAGGCCUUCGGGUUGUAAAGUACUUUCAGUCGUGAGGAAGGUGUUAAGGUUAAUAACCUUAGCAAUUGACGUUAGCGACAGAAGAAGCACCGGCUAACUCCGUGCCAGCAGCCGCGGUAAUACGGAGGGUGCGAGCGUUAAUCGGAAUUACUGGGCGUAAAGGGCACGCAGGCGGUUAAUUAAGUUGGAUGUGAAAUCCCCGGGCUUAACCUGGGAAUGGCAUUCAAGACUGGUUAGCUAGAGUCUUGUAGAGGGGGUAGAAUUCCAUGUGUAGCGGUGAAAUGCGUAGAGAUGUGGAGGAAUACCGGGUGGCGAAGGCGGCCCCGUGGGACAAAGGACUGACGCUCAUGUGCGAAAGCGUGGGGAGCGAAACAGGGAUUAGAUACC